Molecule: ribosomal RNA, 433 nt
Filed under: uncultured bacterium
Lineage: Bacteria
Description: partial 16S ribosomal RNA
Rfam family: Bacterial small subunit ribosomal RNA
Source: RNAcentral
AACGAACGCUGGCGGCAUGCCUAACACAUGCAAGUCGAACGAGACCUUCGGGUCUAGUGGCGCACGGGUGCGUAACGCGUGGGAACCUGCCUUUAGGUUCGGAAUAACUCAGAGAAAUUUGAGCUAAUACCGGAUGAUGUCUUCGGACCAAAGAUUUAUCGCCUUUAGAUGGGCCCGCGUUGGAUUAGCUAGUUGGUGGGGUAAAGGCCUAACAAGGCGACGAUCCAUAGCUGGUCUGAGAGGAUGAUCAGCCACACUGGGACUGAGACACGGCCCAGACUCCUACGGGAGGGAGGAGUGGGGAAUAUUGGAAAAUGGGAGAAAGCCUGAUACAGAAAUGGCGCGUGAGUGAUGAAGGCAUUAGGGUUGUAAAGCUCUUUUACCCGAGAUGAUAAUGACAGUAUCGGGAGAAUAAGCUCCGGCUAACUCCGUG